RNAcentral lists this ribosomal RNA (273 nucleotides) under uncultured bacterium. RNAcentral's name for it is "partial small subunit ribosomal RNA". It matches the Rfam family "Bacterial small subunit ribosomal RNA", at positions 26 to 285 of the family's 1533-position model. The record is from RNAcentral.
AGAAUCAACGCUGGCGGCGUGCCUAACACAUGCAAGUCGAACGCGAAAGUCCCGAAAGGGAUAAGUAGAGUGGCAAACGGGUGAGUAACACGUGGGUGACCUGCCUUCGAGCGGGGGGAUAACGUCCCGAAAGGGACGCUAAUACCGCAUAACAUCCUGCCUUUUAAGAGGUGGAGAUCAAAGCCGGGGACCGCAAGGCCUGGCACUUGAAGAGGGGCCCGCGUCUGAUUAGCUAGUUGGUGGGGUAACGGCCUACCAAGGCAACGAUCAGUA